GACGAACGCUGGCGGCGCGCCUAACACAUGCAAGUCGAACGGAGUCACGAGGAGCUUGCUUUUCUUGACUUAGUGGCGAACGGGUGAGUAACGCGUGAGUAACCUGCCCUGGAGUGGGGGACAACAGUUGGAAACGACUGCUAAUACCGCAUAAGCCCACGGAUCCGCAUGGAUCUGCGGGAAAAGGAUUUAUUCGCUUCAGGAUGGACUCGCGUCCAAUUAGCUAGUUGGUGAGGUAACGGCCCACCAAGGCGACGAUUGGUAGCCGGACUGAGAGGUUGAACGGCCACAUUGGGACUGAGGCACGGCCCAGACUCCUACGGGAGGCAGCAGUGGGGGAUAUUGCACAAUGGGGGAAACCCUGAUGCAGCGACGCCGCGUGGAGGAAGAAGGUUUUCGGAUUGUAAACUCCUGUCGUGAGGGACGAUAAUGACGGUACCUAACAAGAAAACACCGGCUAACUACGUG
Molecule: ribosomal RNA, 468 nt
Filed under: uncultured bacterium
Lineage: Bacteria
Description: partial 16S ribosomal RNA
Rfam family: Bacterial small subunit ribosomal RNA
Source: RNAcentral